GGAUUGUAGCUCAGUGGUAGAGUGCUUGCCUCACACGCACAUGAGGCCCUGGAUUCGAUCCUCAGCACCA
Molecule: transfer RNA, 70 nt
Filed under: Marmota monax (woodchuck)
Lineage: Eukaryota; Metazoa; Chordata; Mammalia; Rodentia; Sciuridae
Description: tRNA.Val
Source: RNAcentral